Molecule: ribosomal RNA, 487 nt
Filed under: Bemisia tabaci
Lineage: Eukaryota; Metazoa; Arthropoda; Insecta; Hemiptera; Aleyrodidae
Description: partial 16S ribosomal RNA
Source: RNAcentral
UCAAAAACAUAGUAUUGUGGGAAACUUUUAGAAUAAAUUCUGCUCAAUGAGUAAAUUAAAUAGCUGCAGUAAAUUAACUGUACUAAGGUAGCAUAAUAAGUUGCUUUAUAAUUAAAAGCUUGAAUGAAAGAAAUAAUGUGAAACAAGCUUUUUAAACUAAAGUAGUAAAAAUUAAUAUUUAAGUGAAAAAUCUUAAAUAAAAUCAAAAGACAAGAAGACCCUUUAGAACUUUACAAAUUAACUUAAUUUCAUUUGGUUAAUUUGUUAGAUUGGGGAGAUUUUUAAAUAAAUAAAUCUUUAGAUAUAAAAAAAUGAUUUAAAUCAAAUUAAAUUAUCCAAAUAUGAAAUAAAACAAGUUACCUAAGGGAUAACAGCGCAAAAUUUUUGAGAAGUUCUCAUUUACAAAAUAAAUUGCGACCUCGAUGUUGGAUUAAGAACAACUUAUAAAGCAAAAAUUUAUAAGAGUUGGUCUGUUCGCCCAAAUAAA